GAGCUAAUACCGGAUAACAUAUUGAACCGCAUGGUUCAAUAGUGAAAGGCGGCUUUGCUGUCACUUAUAGAUGGAUCCGCGCCGUAUUAGCUAGUUGGUAAGGUAACGGCUUACCAAGGCAACGAUACGUAGCCGACCUGAGAGGGUGAUCGGCCACACUGGAACUGAGACACGGUCCAGACUCCUACGGGAGGCAGCAGUAGGGAAUCUUCCGCAAUGGGCGAAAGCCUGACGGAGCAACGCCGCGUGAGUGAUGAAGGUCUUCGGAUCGUAAAACUCUGUUAUCAGGGAAGAACAAAUGUGUAAGUAACUGUGCACAUCUUGACGGUACCUGAUCAGAAAGCCACGGCUAACUACGUGCCAGCAGCCGCGGUAAUACGUAGGUGGCAAGCGUUAUCCGGAAUUAUUGGGCGUAAAGCGCGCGUAGGCGGUUUUUUUAAGUCUGAUGUGAAAGCCCACGGCUCAACCGUGGAGGGUCAUUGGAAACUGGAAAACUUGAGUGCAGAAGAGGAAAGUGGAAUUCCAUGUGUAGCGGUGAAAUGCGCAGAGAUAUGGAGGAACACCAGUGGCGAAGGCGACUUUCUGGUCUGUAACUGACGCUGAUGUGCGAAAGCGUGGGGAUCAAACAGGAUUAGAUACCCUGGUAGUCCACGCCGUAAACGAUGAGUGCUAAGUGUUAGGGGGUUUCCGCCCCUUAGUGCUGCAGCUAACGCAUUAAGCACUCCGCCUGGGGAGUACGACCGCAAGGUUGAAACUCAAAGGAAUUGACGGGGACCCGCACAAGCGGUGGAGCAUGUGGUUUAAUUCGAAGCAACGCGAAGAACCUUACCAAAUCUUGACAUCCUUUGACCGCUCUAGAGAUAGAGUCUUCCCCUUCGGGGGACAAAGUGACAGGUGGUGCAUGGUUGUCGUCAGCUCGUGUCGUGAGAUGUUGGGUUAAGUCCCGCAACGAGCGCAACCCUUAAGCUUAGUUGCCAUCAUUAAGUUGGGCACUCUAAGUUGACUGCCGGUGACAAACCGGAGGAAGGUGGGGAUGACGUCAAAUCAUCAUGCCCCUUAUGAUUUGGGCUACACACGUGCUACAAUGGACAAUACAAAGGGCAGCUAAACCGCGAGGUCAAGCAAAUCCCAUAAAGUUGUUCUCAGUUCGGAUUGUAGUCUGCAACUCGACUACAUGAAGCUGGAAUCGCUAGUAAUCGUAGAUCAGCAUGCUACGGUGAAUACGUUCCCGGGUCUUGUACACACCGCCCGUCACACCACGAGAGUUUGUAACACCCGAAGCCGGUGGAGUAACCAUUUAU
RNAcentral lists this ribosomal RNA (1301 nucleotides) under Staphylococcus warneri. RNAcentral's name for it is "bacterial SSU rRNA". It matches the Rfam family "Bacterial small subunit ribosomal RNA", at positions 160 to 1445 of the family's 1533-position model. The record is from RNAcentral. Lineage: Bacteria; Bacillati; Bacillota; Bacilli; Caryophanales; Staphylococcaceae.